RNAcentral lists this long non-coding RNA (814 nucleotides) under Homo sapiens (human). RNAcentral's name for it is "HSALNT0337773". The record is from RNAcentral. Lineage: Eukaryota; Metazoa; Chordata; Mammalia; Primates; Hominidae.
CUGACUUGCCCAGUCUGGAAGCUCCCUGAAAGCCUGGCAGGCCACCCUACUUCAGCUGCAUUCGGUCCAUACACUGAGGGUCUCAGUGGGGAAAAAGCAGAGUCAUUUUAAAGAAACAUGGAUCUUAGUUUCUAGAAGGUUUUUCCCCAUCUGGCAGACAAAUUUAUGCCUAUUCCACACACAGUUCUGGAGGCUGGGAGGUUCAAGAUCAAGAUGCAGGCAGAUUCAUCUCCUGUUGCCCACUGGAAGAGUCUUUCCAUUUGCCACACUGGAUGCCACACUGGAUGGGAUAAUCUAGGAGGGAGGAACUGUGGAGAUGGUGCGCCUUGGGAUGUCCAGAAGACAGUGACCAGAAUUUCAAGAGAUGUUUUCAGAUUUCACAGUAUAAUAAGAGAAAAGGAGCCAAUCCCUUAAAUGAAGAACCUUCAAUCACUUCUCCCCAGGUGCACGUUUCAAUUUCAUUUCUUUUCAUCAACUCCUUCCCUUUGAUGAUGGGUUGCAUUGAAAACUAUUAAGAAAAGUAGGAUAUUUAAAAUGAACUGUGUUAAGAAGAGGAUCAUUUCAAAGAAUCUAUUCUGAGGAAGUGCCUUCAGCCAAUCAAAAAGCUAAAGAAACUGGAUAUAAUGUGAAUCUAGUGUAAAUUACCAUGAUGUCUCCUUCAACAUUCAUCAAGACUUCUGACUAGUCUACUUGAUCUGUGAAAAUGAGAUUACUUGAAGACCUGUCACAGAUUUUAAAGCAGAACACGAUAUAUUGAUUAUACAAAUAUUUUUAUGUCACCCUGUAUCUUAAUAAAAUAACAUUUACGUCUGGA